UCCCUGGUGGCUCAGCUGGUAAAGAAUCCGCCUGCAAUGCGGGAGACCUGGGUUCAAUCCCUGGGUUGGGAA
Bos taurus (domestic cattle) is the source of this 72-nucleotide non-coding RNA. Lineage: Eukaryota; Metazoa; Chordata; Mammalia; Artiodactyla; Bovidae. The record is from Rfam.